This 253-nucleotide ribosomal RNA is filed under the name uncultured bacterium. RNAcentral's name for it is "partial 16S ribosomal RNA". It matches the Rfam family "Bacterial small subunit ribosomal RNA", at positions 524 to 776 of the family's 1533-position model. The record is from RNAcentral.
UACGUAGGGUGCGAGCGUUAAUCGGAAUUACUGGGCGUAAAGUGUGCGCAGGCGGCCGCGCAAGUCGAGUGUGAAAUCCCCGAGCUUAACUUGGGAAUUGCGCUCGAAACUACGUGGCUGGAGUGUGGCAGAGGAAGGUGGAGUUCCACGUGUAGCGGUGAAAUGCGUAGAGAUGUGGAGGAACACCGAUGGCGAAGGCAGCCUUCUGGGCCAACACUGACGCUCAUGCACGAAAGCGUGGGGAGCAAACAGG